GAUGAACGCUAGCGGGAGGCCUAACACAUGCAAGCCGAGCGGUAGAAGAUCUUCGGAUCUUUGAGAGCGGCGUACGGGUGCGGAACACGUAUGCAACCUACCUUUAUCAGGGGGAUAGCCUUUCGAAAGGAAGAUUAAUACCCCAUAAUAUAUUGAUUGGCAUCAGUUAAUAUUGAAAACUCCGGUGGAUAGAGAUGGGCACGCGCAAGAUUAGAUAGUUGGUAGGGUAACGGCCUACCAAGUCAGUGAUCUUUAGGGGGCCUGAGAGGGUGAUCCCCCACACUGGUACUGAGACACGGACCAGACUCCUACGGGAGGCAGCAGUGAGGAAUAUUGGACAAUGGGUGAGAGCCUGAUCCAGCCAUCCCGCGUGAAGGACGACGGCCCUAUGGGUUGUAAACUUCUUUUGUAUAGGGAUAAACCUACUCUCGUGAGAGUAGCUGAAGGUACUAUACGAAUAAGCACCGGCUAACUCCGUGCCAGCAGCCGCGGUAAUACGGAGGGUGCAAGCGUUAUCCGGAUUUAUUGGGUCUAAAGGGUCCGUAGGCGGAUCUGUAAGUCAGUGGUGAAAUCUCAUAGCUUAACUAUGAAACUGCCAUUGAUACUGCAGGUCUUGAGUAAAGUAGAAGUGGCUGGAAUAAGUAGUGUAGCGGUGAAAUGCAUAGAUAUUACAUAGAACACCAAUUGCGAAGGCAGGUCACUAUGUUUUAACUGACGCUGAUGGACGAAAGCGUGGGGAGCGAACAGGAUUAGAUACCCUGGUAGUCCACGCCGUAAACGAUGCUAACUCGUUUUUGGGCUUUAGGGUUCAGAGACUAAGCGAAAGUGAUAGGUUAGCCACCUGGGGAGUACGUUCGCAAGAAUGAAACUCAAAGGAAUUGACGGGGGCCCGCACAAGCGGUGGAUUAUGUGGUUUAAUUCGAUGAUACGCGAGGAACCUUACCAAGGCUUAAAUGGGAAUUGACAGGUUUAGAAAUAGACUUUUCUUCGGACAAUUUUCAAGGUGCUGCAUGGUUGUCGUCAGCUCGUGCCGUGAGGUGUUAGGUUAAGUCCUGCAACGAGCGCAACCCCUGUCACUAGUUGCCAUCAUUCAGUUGGGGACUCUAGUGAGACUGCCUACGCAAGUAGAGAGGAAGGUGGGGAUGACGUCAAAUCAUCACGGCCCUUACGCCUUGGGCCACACACGUAAUACAAUGGCCAGUACAGAGGGCAGCUACCAGGCGACUGGAUGCGAAUCUCGAAAGCUGGUCUCAGUUCGGAUUGGAGUCUGCAACUCGACUCUAUGAAGCUGGAAUCGCUAGUAAUCGCAUAUCAGCCAUGAUGCGGUGAAUACGUUCCCGGGCCU
Molecule: ribosomal RNA, 1345 nt
Filed under: uncultured bacterium
Lineage: Bacteria
Description: bacterial SSU rRNA
Rfam family: Bacterial small subunit ribosomal RNA
Source: RNAcentral